RNAcentral lists this ribosomal RNA (460 nucleotides) under uncultured bacterium. RNAcentral describes it as "partial 16S ribosomal RNA". It matches the Rfam family "Bacterial small subunit ribosomal RNA", at positions 338 to 795 of the family's 1533-position model. The record is from RNAcentral.
CCUACGGGAGGCAGCAGUGAGGAAUAUUGGUCAAUGGACGCAAGUCUGAACCAGCCAUGCCGCGUGCAGGAAGACGGCUCUAUGAGUUGUAAACUGCUUUUGCACGAGGGUAAACGCAGAUACGCGUAUCUGUCUGAAAGUAUCGUACGAAUAAGUAUCGGCUAACUCCGUGCCAGCAGCCGCGGUAAUACGGAGGAUUCAAGCGUUAUCCGGAUUUAUUUGGUUUAACGGGUGCGUAGGCGGUCGGAUAAGUUAGAGGUGAAAUCCCGGGGCUCAACUUCGGAAUUGCCUCUGAUACUGUUCGGCUAGAGAGUAGUAGCGGUAGGCGGAAUGUAUGGUGUAGCGGUGAAAUGCUUAGAGAUCAUACAGAACACCGAUUGCGAAGGCAGCUUACCAGGCUACUUCUGACGUUGAGGCACGAAAGCGUGGGGAGCAAACAGGAUUAGAUACCCGGGUAGUC